GGAGUUUGAUCCUGGCUCAGAAUGAACGCUAGUGGUUUGUUUUAAGACAUGCAAGUUGAACGAAUCGUAAUUAUUGCGAUUCGUAGCAAACGGGUGAGUAACGCAUAAGAAUUUACCCAAUUGUUUAGGUAAAUCCUAAAUAAUAUUAAAAAAGAUUAAUCGCAAUUGGAUAAGCUUAUGUAGGAUUAAAUUGUUGGUCGGAAAAAAGCCUACCAAGUUCGUGAUCCUUAGCUGAUCUGCGAGGAUGAUCAGCCACAUUGGGACUGAGACAAGGCCCAAACUCCAUGAGGAGGCAGCAGUCGAGAAUAUUAGGCAAUGGGCGAAAGCCUGACCUAGCAAAACCACGUGUGUGAUGAAGGCCUUUUGGUUGUAAAACACUUUCGUUAGAGAUAAUAAUGAUAGUAUCUAAAGAAGAAGUCCUGGCAAAUUCCGUGCCAGCAGCCGCGGUAAUACGGGAAGGGCAAGCGUUAUUCAAAAUUACUGGGUGUAAAGGGUGCGUAGAUGGAUUAAAAUUACUAUAAUGUAAAGAAUAAUGCUUAACAUUAUAUAAAUGUUUUAGUAUUUUUGAUCUUGAGUUUAAAAGACGAUUACAGAAUUUUAGGUGUAGCAAUAAAAUGUUUAAAUAUCUAAAGGAAGAUCACUCGUGAAGACGGUAAUCGAAUUUAUGACUGACAUUGAGGCACGAAAGCAUGGGGAGCAAAAAGGAUUAGAGACCCUUGUAGUCCAUGCUGUAAACGAUGAAUGUUAAGAUCUGGUAUUAGUAGUUGCUAUGUUUAAGUGUGUAGAGUUUUGUUAAUUACUCUACUAUUUAAACUUGUAAUGAGCUAGCUUAUGUAGUAUAAGUUUUAUCAGAACUGAAGCUAACGCGUUAAACAUUCCACCUGGGAAGUACUAUCGCAAGGUAGAAACUCAAAGGAAUUGACGGGAACUUGCACAAGCGGUGGAGCAUGUAGCUUAAUUCGAUAUUACACGAAAAAUCUUACCAACUUUUGUCAUUUUAAUUAAAGUCAUUUUAAAUGGCUUUACAAAUUGAAACAGGUGCUGCAUGGCUGUCGUCAGCUCGUGCUGUGAAGUGUUUGGUUCAUUCCAAUAAACGGGCGCAACUCUCAUAAUUUAUAAAAUAAAUUUAUAAGUUAAACUGUUGACGAUAUGUUAAAGGAAGGUGAGAAUGACGUCAAGUCCUCAUGGCCCUUAUGAGUUGGGCUGCAUACGUGCUACAAUGGUUUAUUACAAAAAUAUUUUCAUUAUGUAAAUACUGAAAUUUUUAUAAAGUAAACCGUAGUUCAGAUUAUUCUAUGUAAAGAGAAUAUGAAGCUGGAAUCGCUAGUAAUCGCAGAAAAGAAUGCUGCGGUGAAUAAGUAACCAAGUUUUGUACACACUGCCCGUCACGCUAUGGGAAUUAAUCGUAUUGGAAAAGGAUAAAUUUCUUAGUUCAUUGUCGUUUUAAUGCAAUUAAAAUAAUGCUUAAACGACAAUGAACUAAGAAAUUUAUCCUUGAUGAUAAGAUUAAGGACUGGAGUGAAGUCGUAACAAGGUAGUCGUAGGGGAACCUGUGGCUGGAAUUGAU
RNAcentral lists this ribosomal RNA (1567 nucleotides) under uncultured Cyanidiaceae. RNAcentral's name for it is "bacterial SSU rRNA". It matches the Rfam family "Bacterial small subunit ribosomal RNA". Lineage: Eukaryota; Rhodophyta; Bangiophyceae; Cyanidiales. The record is from RNAcentral.